CGUGGUGACGUCACGAGGGGUAGUCGCUGAGCCGUUGUUAAAUCGACGGCGACGUCGCCAGCAAAACAGCGUCCAAACCAACUCCGCGCAAACACCUCCACCACUAUAACAACCACCACCACCAACACCACAGCCGCCACCGCUACAACCACGACGACCACAGCCAGCACCAGGAGCUGAGAGAAGGCGAUGUUCGGUCUCAGAGAUCUGGACGACGAUCCCUUCAUGGCCGACCCUUUCCGGGCACAUCACGAGCGCGUGCGGCGCGCAAUGCAGGGCUUCCCAGCGCCGAUGCCCCUCGCUCUGCCCGACGCCCGUGCCCCCAUGGGCCUCUUUGCUCCGUUCCCGAGAUUGGGUUUCGGAAUGCAGCUCUCUCCGUUCGGCGCCUUCGGAAACCCGAUGUCGGGUGUCAUGAUGAAUCCGUUCCAGAUGAUGGACAGCAUGAUCAGCAACAUGCACAGCAUGAUGUCGUCUGAUAUGCACGGAAAUUAUUGCACGUUGUGUCCCCAGGAGACAAUCAGCCCCAACCCGAACGGGCACUCCUUCUCGUCCACCACCGUCAUGUCCUACAGCAACAUGGGUGACGGGCCUCCCCGUGUCUACCAGGCGAGCAGCCAGACCCACCAAGUGCCCGGGGGGGUGCGAGAGGUGCGGCGGUCGGUGCGCGACUCUGAGAGCGGCCUCGAGAAGAUGUCCAUCGGCCACCACAUUGGCGAGCGCGCCCACAUCAUUGAGCGCUCGCGCAACCAUCGCACGGGCAACCGCGAGGAGAACCAGGACUUCAUCAACCUGGAGGAGACUGAAGCACCGGCGUUUGACGCAGAGUUCCGCUCCCGCACCUCCCAGUACGCGGGUGGCGGAGGUGGGGACCGUCGCAUUGACUACCGUCGCCGUGCCGACCGCACCCCUGCCAUCAUGCCGGCCGGGGCUAGCAGUGAGGUGCCGGUGAGGAGGUACGACUGGUGAGGGCGGGGGGGGGGCGGUGGUGGCUGGGGUGGCCGGGGUGGGGGCUCACGCUUCCUCCUCCUCCUCAUCCCCGCACCCCCCACCCCCGCUCCCUCCCUCGCCGUCGCCUCGGAGACGGAGCCGCGCACGAUGCUGUAUGGGGUGUAAGUCACGUGUAGGCCUGGUCUCCAGUGAAAGUGUGACCUCUCAGCCCAGCUACGACCUCGCCUCACCUGACCUCCUCCCCCCCACCCUCACCCCACCCGACCCUGUGUGGGACGAUGACGGUCGUUUGUGUUCACGAGCUCCGGAAACAAAAAUGUCAUAACAUGUUACGCCAGCACAACGAAGGGGAAAGAUCCAGCCCCAUAGUGUCCGGGAGAGGGCGGGGGAGGGGUGGGGAGGACUCGAGAGGGCCCCCCCCCACCACACCCCCUCCCUCCUUCUAAAUUCAUACUCAAGUCUAAAAAUAUUGGUACAAUAUUUAACACCAAUUGUGGUUUUCUUCAAAGUUUCUACACACAGAGAGCUAGGGCAGAAUGCACGAUCGGCAAGAGAAGAUCAUAUCGUUGUUACCCUUGUUUAGCGUUUUCACGUUUUCUGAAAGUUUAAUGUUCACCGUGUUAUUCCCCCCUCCUGAGUUUUUGUAUAUCGCCUUCCACCCCACUAUUUAAACAAGUCGCACGGCAGGGGCUGGAGCGAUCUUCGCGGGUGGUACAGCAGCCCUGGGGACAUGUCGACCGUCCGUCCCGUUCUUUUCAUCUUAUUUUUGUUCUUUCUCCCCUCCCUCACUUGACCGUCUCUUUUUACCGUCACCUCUCCUCCUUCCGUUGUUUGUUGUUUUUCGUCCACCGACGCCACGGCUUAGACGGACGGCGGUUUCCACGCGUUGACGACGGGAGACCAGGAGGAGGGGGGGGGGGGCGGUGUGUGUGGGCUGCAUGGGGGGCGGAGUACAUCUUCCCGUGCGGCUCUGGGCCGCCACCUCGUGGUUUCACGUCGCUUUCGCACGGGGGCUGCGGGGGAUAGAUUUGGGUCGUUAACGAAUAAAUAUCGUUCAAGGUCAUAUAGACCUCGGAACACUUUGCCAUGCACUACACCUGCAUUUGCGUCCAGAAGCGAGUUUCUCCGUUAAAGCAAAAUAUGAAGCCGGAUGUGUUGUGAUGCUCACGCAUGCUGUAAGUUCGUAUGAUAGGUAGAGCCUAAUUGUCCACUGUUGGAUGAGGAUCACCCUUUGUGGUGCUGCUCAUGAGGGCUAUUUGACCAUACUGCCCCACGCUGGUUAUCCCGGACUGGUGAUAGGACGGUAUAGCACACACAACAGUGGCUGCAUUGCCAUCUGCUGCCCCAAUGCCUAUAACACCUGUUGUUAUUUGCAUGGCGGUCACCCAUCCACGCACUGUCGAGAUUCAACGCUGCUUAGCUUGUGAUUUGAUCCGUAGGUUAGGAGCUGCAAUUGCAGUGGGGGAUGAUGCAUUAAGGAGGGACGAGCUCAUUACUCCAAUCCGAUCAGCAAAAUUAGUCGUGCAGGAAUGCGAGGAAUUGUACCUUGUGACUGCUAACAGCCACGACUCUAGAUUGCAAAUGGGUCAGGGAUUCGGCACAUCACGCCUGGCUGCUGCCUUUAGGUGUGGCUCUGGUUCCUUGGUGAUUGUGUAAUGCAAUUUCCCUGAACGAAGAUGCUAUAUGAAACACAUUAUUAUGUGUUCUAGAAUAAAUAAAAGUUUUCAACUGCUAGAAAUGAGCCCUGUGACGAUUCACCAAAUUGUAAUUUAAAAUCUCUUCUUCCAAUUGCAACGCUCACACCAAUGUGUGCAUGUGAGGAUACAUGAUUUUCGAUUCGUGCAUACGUCAUAGGAUUUUUUUCCUUUAAUUGCAAUGGUUACGGUUCAAAACGAGAUGGUACAAAACGCAAAUGAGAAUAAUAUCGCGUAUCGAAUCGUGACCUUCAAUCUUAACUGGAACAUCAAAUUGAAGGGCAGCGGGGAGGUGGGUUGGUUGAAUUGGCACUUGCCUAUAAAUAACACAUUUUCAUUGCAGGUGGCAAACGCGCUUCUGUACACAAAUGCAGCUGACAUGGCCAGCUUAGUGUUCUGCGGUCUUCAUAAGGGUUGGGGAACACCCUUAACAGAGUUCUCUCUUAAAGGCCACGAUCCCACUAGGGCAGUCGUCGUCGGCAACAUAUGGCUGCAGUCGUUUCCUCUUGUAAAAAUGUAGUUGCCCAAUAUGUGAACUUAACCUGGUCGCAGGUCCUAUUAGUUGGCAAAUCGAGAUGGCAACUUCCAAAAAGGUGAUAAGACGAGAGGUCACGUGACUUGCCUGAAGUCAAGCUCAAGUCUUCGUUUGAGAGAUGGUGGCUUCACGUUGGUGCAUGACUGGGUUCUGGAUAGAUGAAAGAGAGAGCCUUGUGAUUGAUUACACUGGUCAACACACUUUUUCUGGCAUAAGGUAUUCCAACGGUUUUAAUGUAAUUUUGGGGUGCUGAUUCCAAAUCUGGCAUCAGUUUUUGUCUAUCACAUCAGGUUUUUGAGAUAUCAAAUAUUGCAUUUUCAAUAAAAACUGCAGAAGAAAAAUAUUAAAUAAAUGUGGAUAUCUACAUAAAAUGAUAUUAUAAACACACUAUCCUAAAAAUACAGCACCAUAUUUUAACACUAAAGCAGUCACUGACUCGCAACAACUUGCACUCAUAAGUGACAGUUAAUUUCGGGUAAAAUCAAUGAAAAUGGGGUAUGCCGAUAGCAUAAAAAUGAGAUGUGAUGGAGCAAAUCUGAGAUCAGAUUUGGAAUCAACACCCUGAAAUUAGUCUAAAACAGCUGCAAAAGUCCAGGCCAGAAAAAAAUGUUUUUUUUUGUUGACCAGUGUUAUCCUUUUCAUCAAAGCGUAUUAACACAAGCGUCUUGGAAUAAGGUGCGAUAUAAAUCUACGUAAGAUAAGAUGUAUGUAUCGACCAAGUGACUGAUAAGAAUGGAUCGCAUCAAGAAUUGUCGCUUCAAUUGCCAUAGUUGCUCAUUCUUCAAGAGUUGCUGGUGACGGUUGCCGGCGUAGAUUUAUUCAAAACUGCCCCCGUGGAUCAUGGCCUUAUUGGUCUCUGUUAAUUCUUGCCAGAGAUUCCUGUUUUAAAUUCUGUCCCCGUGAGGCCCUGUCGGUGGUUAAGUGGCAUUGGGAAUGGCUUUACAGUUUUGUUUUUGUGAAGCCAUUCUUCUUGGGGUUACAAGGCAUAGCGCAGCCGUCGCUUAUUUAACUUGUUAUGGAAACUAACAUAGUAAUAUCCUCCCUUAAGCAACUACGAUUUCCCAGGUCUCCUUUUUGAAACGCAGAUGGCUUGCACCUGGUUUAAUAAAGGACGAUGAAUCGAAUCGGACUUGUCACUGUCCCUCUGCUGCAGUCUGUACCAAUCACACACUAAUGUUUGGUGUACUGAAUUUACAAAAACAAUAACUUGCCAUCAAAGCACAUUGUUGUACAGCGUCUAAUAACGAGGCUCUGUGAAAACUCUGUAUAAUGAAGUACUGAGCAGUCAGUACAGUAAUUCAAAAUGUCAAAGUUACUGGAGAAAUGUUUGACCUAGGAAUCGAAAAUACAUUUUAUGCAGGGCACUUCUCUGGAAUGAAAUGUUUUUUGUUGAUGAAUUCUUCCGAGCCAUUGUAUAUUAAUCUCAUUUGCUAAAACGGGGUUAAUAAAAAUGUAACAACCCAUAAAACUCGGUCUAGAAAGUAAUAUUUUGUUGAGAGAAUACUCUGCAUUUACUCAAACGACUAAUUGAGGUGUACCCUGAAGCGACCUGGGUAACCCACAAAAACUCAUGGUCCAUUUGAUAGAGGUUUGUAGAGAGUAUGGAGGUGAUGCAACAAGAAUUUCCAAAAUUGGGUUUUCAUUUAAUCAAGCUAUUAUUGUAUUGGGUUGUAUCUGCUGUACCUCCUUGAUUGUGUAACCAGUUUUCACAGAGCCUCCGGCAUUUGUUGAGCAGAUGGUGCUGAAUAGUAAUUCAUUGUAAUGGUACAAGAGCCAUCCAUGAAAACACGGGGUGCAAAAACAACAAGGAAGGGGCCCGGUCAUGAGAUGCCAUACGUAAUACAGGGUUUUCAGUUUAGAUAUUCACGGUGGAGUUUGUUGGCUGGCAGUGUGUUCAGGUGGGGAGCCGGUUAGUUCCAGGCUGCAGAGGAGCAGGAGUGACCUGCUGCUUUAUGUGGGUGCACCGUGCCACCGACCCAUGCUGUGUUGAUGGGGAACGGAGCCCCCCAACCCCACCCCAUCUUGUCGGGGUUUUGGAAUGAGCAGUAGGGUCGUGAGUAAUCUGUUAACUGGGUGAAAAUGUGACCCUGGUGGCCAAUGCUGUGCUUGCCUCAAGAAAACUCUUCACAGCUGCUGCCUCUGCUGUGUUCUUGUUUAAGAGUUUGUAACCGUGCACACGUGACCUGCACCCGGAAGUCUCCCGUGUGUUGGUGAGACGUGUCGAUUUCGCAGAUUUAUCAAUUCAAAUGGAUGUGCUAAUUUAAAAAUCAAACAGCAUAUGUCAAUUUUGAAGUCCGUAAAACAAAUAUUUGCUCGGUUCUAUGAAAGUGUCCAAUUGAAGUUUAAUGUCUACUUUAAGAGAUACAUUCCUUUAUAAAAUGUUCAAAUAUGCAUGACAUUUUGCAGUGGGAGAGGAGAGUGGAAGUUGUAUCGAGUCCUGGUCGAUGUGUUCACCCUCUAAGUGUAAAACAAGGGAUUGAGCUCACAUUUUGUAUAUUAAAGAAAAACUGUUCCCUUAGUAAUCUGUAGUUAACACCAUCUGUAUGUAAUUAAAAUAUGUAGCCAAAAGGAUAUGUAAUUCAUCCAUCAGCCUAUGCACCUUCUGAACCUUAAAAAUUAAAGAACAAAAACGAGGUUAUUAAAAGCAAUUGGUCAAGAUAUUGACGAUGUUUUGGGCAAAUCCGCUUUCGCAACAUCAUUUGUUCCAAGGUAAAUUUACAUCGAUUUUGACUUCGUUGAGGUUCAUUGGAAAUGUGUGACCGGUUGCCAAUAGGCCGAUGGAUAACUUUGUUCCCCUUCUGUCCUUUAAACUGACUUCGUCCACGGUGUGGUUUGUGUUCACCCGGGAUAAUGAUCUUCCAUCAGCAACCAUUCGGUCGCGCAAGGUGGCGCUGUGACAGCUUACCAUCGAUCACUUGGCCAGGUAAAAAUAAACUUCGCCCGGGUCCAAUGUUGCCAACUCAGCGAUUUUGUUGCUAGAUCUCGUCGCCCCUCUUUGGGUUGCCCUGUCAACAACGUGCUGUUCAAAGUAGCUAGCAACAACUCCAGCGGCCUUCGCUGCAUCGUAAAUGGUACAGAUUUAGGAACGAUUCAAUUUGUGUUUUAAUGAUUCUGUAUCAAAUUCUGUAUCAGUUUAAUGUUCAGUCUUUUGUAAAUUGACUCGUGACACUUGGCAACUUUACACGGUCUAUGGAGCAACUUCUUUGAUGUUUAUUUGGCGACUUUCCGCUUUGAGGAGUUGGCAAGAUUGGGGCUCGGGUGAUUUAAUCCCGAGUCUCAAGACUUCAGGAGCGUCCUGCCCUGGGGUUCUUGACAAAUUUGUUUUAUUAAAACUGGCACUUACAAAAGCAAAGUUCAGAUUUAAAUUCAUUGUACAUUUAGUCGAUAGUUUGAUACUUUGUUUAAUACAGGGCCUAUAUAACAACAACAGGAUAACCCCCCCCCCUCCCUCCCAAUUAACCUUUUGAAAAUGUAAACCUGUCUGUGAAGUUGUAGAUUAUAGACGUUAUAGACCAUAGAAUGUUGAAUAAUCUUCUUUCGUUUUCGGAUUUAACUUUGUUCACGAGUCAUUUUGAAUUGUAGUGUCCAUGCGUAGUAGAGUGACAUACUGUAUGUAAUGUUUGACAAGGCGCAUUAAGGGUAAUAUUAAGAGGUGAGAAUGUUGUAGUCAGUGGUGGGGAACCUUUUACAAAGGGCCGAAUACCUUUUAGUGGGCAACAUACAUUAGUUCACACUAAACCUUGAUGGACUAAACAUAUUUGCUACGAAGAACAUCAAUUGCCCAAAACAUCACCUAUGAUGUAUAUGUUUAAUUCGAAGGCAGCGUUAUUGACCAAUUGUUAGUUUUUCUUGUUAAUUGUGCUUUUCCAUCACUGCCAACGCAGCAGAAAGAUCACCGACAUUUUUUUAAAUUAGGCUACGGCUGGAUUGGCCUUGUUCUUACAGCUACUUUAAAGACGGCCAGUGUUUCUGAGCGUCCUAAAAUCGGAAGCUCGGUUCAGUCAGGUUGGAACAUUCCCUCCCAGUGCCCAAUGAGUGCAGCUGAGAAGCUGAUGGAAUAUCGUUUUUGCGGGCUGUUUUGAAGUUGGUAGCCCUGGUGUAAGCUACGCGUUUUAGGAAGUGAAGCCACGGGUCGUAUCUGGCCCCGCUGGGCCCAUGGGUUCCCCACUCCUGCCAGAAGUCAUUUGCUGUAUGUUGCGCGGAAAUGUUAACAAUAAAACCAAACGUUGAUUACGAUAUGAAACAAGCCACUUGUCACUGGUAUAAUAAACUGUCGGCAGCAACCUGAGCCACCCGUCACGAAUGAGCACAGGGGGUGGGCUGGCAAUCAGCUCCCUUGAGUCGUUGAUGGAAUUUCCACAUUCCCUGUGGCCGGGAGUCGGUUUAUCCACAGGACAGCUGUUGUUAAUAUUCGUGUAUAAAUGCUAAUAUUGUAGUGUCAAAUAUAUAGUACUGACUGUCUAGUUAUAACGUACCACGAACUCUUUUCGGGUUUUGCAUAAAAAAAGAGAGUGAUUAGCAAAUUUGAUACGAAAUAAAUGAAACCUAAACGACAGUUAGGGCGUUUGUUGGCGUUGUAUAAUUUUUAUUCCAAUACAAGCUUGCGUGGACUCUC
Molecule: RNA transcript, 7792 nt
Organism: Lethenteron reissneri (Far Eastern brook lamprey)
Lineage: Eukaryota; Metazoa; Chordata; Hyperoartia; Petromyzontiformes; Petromyzontidae
Gene: MLF2
Gene name: myeloid leukemia factor 2
Source: RefSeq, a predicted model, not a curated record